Pongo abelii (Sumatran orangutan) is the source of this 147-nucleotide unclassified non-coding RNA. It matches the Rfam family "Metazoan signal recognition particle RNA". Rfam says of the family: The signal recognition particle (SRP) is a universally conserved ribonucleoprotein. It is involved in the co-translational targeting of proteins to membranes. The record is from Ensembl. NCBI's taxonomy places the organism in Eukaryota, Metazoa, Chordata, Mammalia, Primates, Hominidae.
GCUGGGUGUGGUGGCGCACACCUGUAAUCCAGCUAUUCAGGAGGCUGAGGCAAGAGAAUCACUUGAGCUUAGGAAGCAGAGGUUGCAGUGAGCUGAGAUUGCACCACUGCACUCCUGCCUGGGUGACAGAGUGAGACUCUGUCUCAA